RNAcentral lists this ribosomal RNA (234 nucleotides) under uncultured Lactobacillus sp. RNAcentral's name for it is "partial 16S ribosomal RNA". It matches the Rfam family "Bacterial small subunit ribosomal RNA", at positions 128 to 355 of the family's 1533-position model. Lineage: Bacteria; Bacillati; Bacillota; Bacilli; Lactobacillales; Lactobacillaceae. The record is from RNAcentral.
GCCCAAGAGAUCGGGAUAACACCUGGAAACAGAUGCUAAUACCGGAUAACAACAGAUGAUGCCUAUCAACUGUUUAAAAGAUGGUUCUGCUAUCACUCUUGGAUGGACCUGCGGUGCAUUAGCUAGUUGGUAGGGUAACGGCCUACCAAGGCGAUGAUGCAUAGCCGAGUUGAGAGACUGAUCGGCCACAUUGGGACUGAUACACGGCCCAAACUCCUACGGGAGGCAGCAGCU